GGGCGUAAUUAGGUCUAAAAUGACAUAAGAAAAUAACUGUUUUUCAACCUUCAUCAGUUAUCAAGUAAUAUAAACGGGUAAGUCCGAGUAUCGUUUUUCCAAAGAACUCUUAGGCCUUAACUUUCAUGUAAAUAAAUCGCGUAAGACAUGAGAAAAGAAUAAAUUUGGUGAUUAUAUGCAAAAAACAAAAAUAAACAUGCAAUGCAGUUGAUUCAAUCAAUUUUCAGAAACUAUGGAUGAAUGGUGUUGUUCGGGUUUUGAAUUUCAUCUUAUCCACUCUCAUAUAUCUACUAUUCUUAUUUACUUCACUUAUUUAUCUAAUUGCCAUGCAAACUUUCUAGUUUACCCUUAACCCAAUCCCUUGGUGAAAAGAGCCUAUUAUUAAUUACCGGCUUGCUAUCCUUAGCCUCCCCUAGUAACCAAUAAUGCAAUGUGAUCAAAAGAAAAUACAAUUGACUGUCCUACCCCUAUCCCUAGGUGAUAUUUCAUAAUCAAGGAAUUUCCCACCAGUUCAUGACAUUACCGUUCGUCCCCAUAUCGAUAAAGACAAACAUCUUUUACUGAAUG
This 567-nucleotide long non-coding RNA is filed under the name Vigna radiata. Its description in RNAcentral is "long non-coding RNA (VRAD_LNC002075)". The record is from RNAcentral. Lineage: Eukaryota; Viridiplantae; Streptophyta; Magnoliopsida; Fabales; Fabaceae.